ACUCCAAUGCGGACGAUUUAGCCAUGCUAGUCGCACGAGUUCAGAGCUCGUGGCGAAUAGCUCAGUAACACGUGGCCAAACUACCCUUCGGAACACAAUACCCUCGGGAAACUGAGGCUAAUAGUGUAUACCAUACCACCACUGGAACGAGUGGUAUGCCAAACGCUCCGGCGCCGAAGGAUGUGGCUGCGGCCGAUUAGGUAGACGGUGGGGUAACGGCCCACCGUGCCAAUAAUCGGUACGGGUCAUGAGAGUGAGAACCCGGAGACGGAAUCUGAGACAAGAUUCCGGGCCCUACGGGGCGCAGCAGGCGCGAAACCUUUACACUGCACGACAGUGCGAUAGGGGGAUCCCAAGUGCACAGGCAUAGCGCCUGUGCUUUUCGGCACCCUAAGGCGGUGCCAGAAUAAGGGCUGGGCAAGACCGGUGCCAGCCGCCGCGGUAAUACCGGCAGCCCAAGUGAUGGCCGAUCUUAUUGGGCCUAAAGCGUCCGUAGCUGGCCGCGCAAGUCCAUCGGGAAAUCCACCUGCUCAACAGGUGGGCGCCCGGUAGAAACUGCGUGGCUUGGGACCGGAAGGCGCGACGGGUACGUCCGGGGUAGGAGUGAAAUCCCGUAAUCCUGGACGGACCGCCGAUGGCGAAAGCACGUCGCGAGAACGGAUCCGACAGUGAGGGACGAAAGCCAGGGUCUCGAACCGGAUUAGAUACCCGGGUAGUCCUGGCCGUAAACAAUGUCUGCUAGGUGUGGCUCCCACUACGAGUGGGUGCUGUGCCGUAGGGAAGCCGCUAAGCAGACCGCCU
RNAcentral lists this ribosomal RNA (801 nucleotides) under uncultured Halorubrum sp. RNAcentral describes it as "bacterial SSU rRNA". It matches the Rfam family "Archaeal small subunit ribosomal RNA", at positions 29 to 829 of the family's 1478-position model. Lineage: Archaea; Methanobacteriati; Methanobacteriota; Halobacteria; Halobacteriales; Haloferacaceae. The record is from RNAcentral.